Drosophila mojavensis is the source of this 704-nucleotide long non-coding RNA. RefSeq lists it as uncharacterized. The transcript has 2 exons. The record is from RefSeq and is a predicted model, not a curated record. NCBI's taxonomy places the organism in Eukaryota, Metazoa, Arthropoda, Insecta, Diptera, Drosophilidae.
AAUAAUUAAAAAUAAGUAGAUAUAAAUAAAUUAGCUUAUUAUAAUAUGCGAAUUUCGUUAGCCUGUUCCGAAUUGUGCAAGAUUUGAAUAUGAACUAAUUUAAAGAUAGAUCAAGUGAAUUUCAAUUGAUUGCUCUUUGAAAAUAAUGAAUUUGAAAAGAAGCCCCAUUUAAAAAUAGUUCACAUAUGUCGAAAAUUCAAAAGUCUUAAACAAUUUGAACAAUUCUCGGAAUACGUUAAAGCUUUUCAUUUUCGUUUGCGAGUGCUUUUCAACGAAUUCGCAAUUCGGAACAUGGCUAAUUAUAUAUUUACAGUCCCGUGCGUCCUUCAAAGUAGCUGCUGCUCUGCUCCGAGCUCUGUCUGUUCCAAUUAGCCGGCGACCCAUUUGUGCAAAAAUGAAAAAAAAAAAAAUUAAAUUAUGAUUUCCAUUAGAAGAAGCGCCGAGAAUAAGAAGCAGCAGCAGCGGUACUAGCACAUAUGCACGUGGCAUUGUGAAUGCCAUUGCUCCAAUUGUGAAUGAUAAGUGUGCAGCACGCAAAUCCUUUCAUGGCCGAGGUCAAAACUAUUAGUGCACAUCCAAUUUGUGACAAUAUUUGAGAAUUUGAUUUUCAUUGCUGCUCAGCGAACCUGUUAACAAUUUAUUCAAAUCAUUUGACCAAAUGCCGUUGUUGACCAUUAAUAAAACUGUCACAUUUUCUAAAUGCA